This 73-nucleotide transfer RNA is filed under the name Bacteroidia bacterium. RNAcentral describes it as "tRNA-Pro". Lineage: Bacteria; Pseudomonadati; Bacteroidota; Bacteroidia. The record is from RNAcentral.
CGAGUGGUGACUAAGGUUUAAGCACGGGUGCAUUGGAAGCAUCAGUUAGUAGGUUCGAUUCCUGCACACUCGA